Long non-coding RNA from Ictidomys tridecemlineatus (thirteen-lined ground squirrel), 2314 nucleotides. The record is from Ensembl. NCBI's taxonomy places the organism in Eukaryota, Metazoa, Chordata, Mammalia, Rodentia, Sciuridae.
UGGACAGGGCUUAAUGACUUCUGCGGCUUUAGCUGGGUUAGCAGCAAAGGAAGGGAUGAGAAUAAAACGCCCCCAUAAGCCUAGGAAAGGACCUGGUUAGCCAGGGAAACCAGGAGCCACCAGGGCUGGUUUUAAAUUCAACCCCAUCAAUAAACAACUCGCCUCAGUAAACAUGCUUCAGCAGCUAGAAUAUCACAACGGCCCUGUGUCUGGAGCAGCUGAUUAGGAACCAAUCCAUUCCAAUAAGCACCCAGUGAGUGCCAGCUAAGCAUCAGUGACACCAGUGACCUCGCUUCUACAGACGACAUCCGUGCACUCAUGCUUUUUGGCAUCUGCCAGUCCCUGAAGUUGCUUCCUAAGACUCGACACAAGAUUUGUCAUCUGCUCUGUGCAUGCCCGAGCCCAGGGCAGCUCCCUGGCAAGACCCAACCUGACAGAUGGAAGCCAACCCAGAGGCAGGAGGGUCACGUGGAAAGAAUAAAGAGAUCCUUGCUUUACAGCUGGAAAUGUGGUUCUGAUCCUCCACUGCCACCCAAAGAGACUCACUGUCCCAGCAGUCCAGAACUAUUGAUGAUCACAGUGCAGCUGGGGUGGUGACACUACAGUAACAAAAUGACGACAGAACACAGCCACCAUGUUCAAGCGAGGCUGCUCUCGGCCUCUUUGUCCAGAUGGGAAAACAGAGUCUCCGGGAGGUGACUCUGCCUAGGGUGACGCAGGUAGGGAGUGGUGGGAGCCAAAGCCACUGUGCCCCAGAAAAGCAUCAGACCUCUAGAGCUUGCUGGGAGUGGAAACAUUGCUGAAAGUCACCAACCAUCCUACAGAAUAAUCCAGGUUCCUUAGUCUGCUCUCGAGAUCCUUCCUGACCUUGCCACAACCUUAGUGUCCAACCUGCUUCCCGUCACUCCUUCCACAACCCCAGGCCCCAGGCCAUUUCUUGCUGAUUUCCACAAAUGCCCCGAGUUUUCCCACUUACCUAAUGAUACUCCUUUACGCUCACGGGGCCUUUUCUAGGGACUCCACAAAGCAAAACGUUAAGCAUUAGAAACCCUCCCUCCCCACUGGAAAGGACGCUCCCACUCCUGCGGACCCUCGGCGCUGUCCUGCUCUCAGACGCUCCCAUUUCCCCUCUCGCUGGCAUUCUUACUGGGGGGCAGAGACCCCGUGUCAACUCUGAACUGAAAGCCCUCCUGAGACCAAGUGUCUGGCUGCGGGAAACAGGGAGACACAAUGAGGCCAGAGAGGAGAGGCAGCUGAGAGACGGUCCAGCUGCCCUCCCCAAAUCCACACCCUUCACUACCAGCAAAACAGCGUCCAACUUAUUUUUAUUUAUUUAUUUUUGGGGUAUCAGGGAUCAGACUCAGGGGCACUCGACCACUGAGCCACAUCCCCAGUCCUAUUUUUUAUGUUAUUUAGAGACAGGGACUCACUGAGGUGCUUGGCUCCUGGUUUCUGCCUGAGGCUGGCUUUCAACUUGCGAUCAUCCUGCCUCAGCCUCCCGAGCUGCUGGGCUUACAGGUGUGCGCCGCUGUGCUGUCCACAACUCAUCCUUAUAAGGCUCUGGAGAAGACGCCCCAUGGCUGUGUGACCUGAACAAGUCAUGUCAACUACCCCAGAACUUAACUUCCUGGGCUAAUCUGAGAAUUGAGUUUAUGCAUGUUAAGUGCCCAGAACAGCGAAUGGCUCCUAACAAAUAUAUUCUAUUAUUAUUUUUCAAACUUACAUAGAUGAGAAAAGUAGCUCACAUAAUAAGCCACAAGAAGGGAAUGAUCAAGACGGAAAGUCUGGGCUGGGGAGGUGGCUCAGUGGUAAAGCGCUCACCUAGCCUGUGUGAGGCACUGGGUUCAGUUCUCAGCACCACAUAUAAGUAAAUAAAUUAAACACAGUUCCAUCAACAACUAAAAAAAAUCUAAACAAACAAAAAAGAUGGAAAAGUCCCAGAAGGAACAACUGUUUCGAUGAAUGGAGGAGAGGCUUAGAUGUGAGCAUCAGGGGUAUUUUCCCCUAAGAAGUCACAGGUCAAGAGGGGAAGUGAGAGUUGAGGAUAUAGCCCAGUUGGUAAAGCGCUUGCCUCACAUAUACAAGGCCCUGAGUUUGAUUCCCAGCACCACAAAAAAAAAAAAAAAAAAAGUGGGGGGGAUGCAACUGAACACUAUAAAAUAACAAGUCAAAUGGUGGCAGAAAUAGGAAAAUACACCCCAUCCAGGUAAAAUGUAAAGACAGAAUUGGAGUCCACCUGCGACCCAAAGAAGAUGGUCUUAGGUCAAAGAAAUUUAAAAACUGAUCUUUAAAAAUUGAUUAUUUUUUUCUGACG